GACGAACGCUGGCGGCGUGCUUAGCACAUGCAAGUCGAACGGACAGACAGAGAGCUUGCUCUCUUGAAGUUAGUGGCGAACGGGUGAGUAACGCGUAAUCAACCUGCCCUUCAGAGGGGGAUAACAACGGGAAACCGUUGCUAAUACCGCGUACGAUUCAUGAACGGCAUCGUUUAUGAAUGAAAGGUGGCCUCUAUGUAUAAGCUAUCGCUGAAGGCGGGGAUUGGGUCUGAUUAGCUAGUUGGAGGGGUAACGGCCAACCAAGGCAAUGAUCAGUAGCCGGUCUGAGAGGAUGAACGGCCACAUUGGGACUGAGACACGGCCCAAACUCCUACGGGAGGCAGCAGUGGGGAAUCUUCCGCAAUGGACGAAAGUCUGACGGAGCAACGCCGCGUGAGUGAUGAAGGUCUUCGGAUUGUAAAGCUCUGUUAAUCGGGACGAAAGAGUUCUGCGUGAAUAAUGCAGAAAAGUGACGGUACCGGAAUAGAAAGCCACGGCUAACUACGUGCCAGCCGCCGCCGUAA
Molecule: ribosomal RNA, 524 nt
Filed under: uncultured bacterium
Lineage: Bacteria
Description: partial 16S ribosomal RNA
Rfam family: Bacterial small subunit ribosomal RNA
Source: RNAcentral